Long non-coding RNA from Dermochelys coriacea (leatherback sea turtle), 132 nucleotides. RefSeq lists it as uncharacterized. Lineage: Eukaryota; Metazoa; Chordata; Testudines; Dermochelyidae. The record is from RefSeq and is a predicted model, not a curated record. The transcript is spliced from 3 exons.
UGAUUAAAUGCAAAAUAAGACAGGAGAGAAGAAGUAGAUGAGAAGGGCAGAGAAUAGAGGGAAUGAGAGAAAGAGAACAGAAGGCAAAGGGAAAGGUGUAGAAUACUGAAAAGAUGUUGCUGUGUAAUGGAA